UCCUACGGGGGGCAGCAGUGAGGAAUAUUGGUCAAUGGGCGCAAGCCUGAACCAGCCAAGUCGCGUGAGGGAAGACGGCCCUACGGGUUGUAAACCUCUUUUGCCGGGGAGCAAGCCUGAGCACGUGUGCCCAGGCGGAGAGUACCCGGAGAAAAAGCAUCGGCUAACUCCGUGCCAGCAGCCGCGGUAAUACGGAGGAUGCGAGCGUUAUCCGGAUUUAUUGGGUUUAAAGGGUGCGCAGGCGGUCUGUUAAGUCAGCGGUCAAAGCCCGGGGCUCAACCCCGGCCCGCCGUUGAAACUGGCAG
This 305-nucleotide ribosomal RNA is filed under the name uncultured bacterium. RNAcentral describes it as "bacterial SSU rRNA". It matches the Rfam family "Bacterial small subunit ribosomal RNA", at positions 337 to 639 of the family's 1533-position model. The record is from RNAcentral.